Molecule: transfer RNA, 68 nt
Filed under: Loxodonta africana (African savanna elephant)
Lineage: Eukaryota; Metazoa; Chordata; Mammalia; Proboscidea; Elephantidae
Rfam family: tRNA
About the family: Transfer RNA (tRNA) molecules are approximately 80 nucleotides in length.
Source: Rfam by way of RNAcentral
GCAGUGGUUCCAUGGUGGAACUCUCGCCUUCCGCACGGGAGACCCAGGUUCAAUCCCUGGCCAAUGCA